GACGAACGCUGGCGGCGUGCCUAAUACAUGCAAGUCGAGCGCUUCUUUCCUCCCGAGUGCUUGCACUCAAUUGGAAAGAGGAGUGGCGGACGGGUGAGUAACACGUGGGUAACCUACCCAUCAGAGGGGGAUAACACUUGGAAACAGGUGCUAAUACCGCAUAACAGUUUAUGCCGCAUGGCAUAAGAGUGAAAGGCGCUUUCGGGUGUCGCUGAUGGAUGGACCCGCGGUGCAUUAGCUAGUUGGUGAGGUAACGGCUCACCAAGGCCACGAUGCAUAGCCGACCUGUGAGGGUGAUCGGCCACUCUGGGACUGAGACCCGGCCCAGACUCCGACGGGAGGCAGCAGUAGGGAAUCUUCGGCAAUGGACGAAAGUCUGACCGAGCAACGCCGCGUGAGUGAAGAAGGUUUUCGGAUCGUAAAACUCUGUUGUUAGAGAAGAACAAGGACGUUAGUAACUGAACGUCCCCUGACGGUAUCUAACCAGAAAGCCACGGCUAACUACGU
RNAcentral lists this ribosomal RNA (507 nucleotides) under uncultured bacterium. RNAcentral's name for it is "partial 16S ribosomal RNA". It matches the Rfam family "Bacterial small subunit ribosomal RNA", at positions 28 to 506 of the family's 1533-position model. The record is from RNAcentral.